This 479-nucleotide ribosomal RNA is filed under the name uncultured bacterium. RNAcentral's name for it is "partial 16S ribosomal RNA". It matches the Rfam family "Bacterial small subunit ribosomal RNA", at positions 28 to 507 of the family's 1533-position model. The record is from RNAcentral.
GAUGAACGCUGGCGGCGUGCUUAACACAUGCAAGUCGAACGAAGCACCUUGAUUUGAUUCUUCGGAUGAAGAUCUUGGUGACUGAGUGGCGGACGGGUGAGUAACGCGUGGGUAACCUGCCUCAUACAGGGGGAUAACAGUUAGAAAUGACUGCUAAUACCGCAUAAGACCACAGCACCGCAUGGUGCAGGGGUAAAAACUCCGGUGGUAUGAGAUGGACCCGCGUCUGAUUAGGUAGUUGGUGGGGUAACGGCCUACCAAGCCGACGAUCAGUAGCCGACCUGAGAGGGUGACCGGCCACAUUGGGACUGAGACACGGCCCAAACUCCUACGGGAGGCAGCAGUGGGGAAUAUUGCACAAUGGGGGAAACCCUGAUGCAGCGACGCCGCGUGAGCGAUGAAGUAUUUCGGUAUGUAAAGCUCUAUCAGCAGGGAAGAAAAUGACGGUACCUGACUAAGAAGCGCCGGCUAAAUACGUG